Myotis lucifugus (little brown bat) is the source of this 1418-nucleotide long non-coding RNA. RefSeq lists it as uncharacterized. NCBI's taxonomy places the organism in Eukaryota, Metazoa, Chordata, Mammalia, Chiroptera, Vespertilionidae. The record is from RefSeq and is a predicted model, not a curated record. The transcript has 8 exons.
UGAGCAAGAAAACAUCUGUGGUUGGAAAUCAGGGCUGGUGAUUCAAGCCUGUGUGUGACUUGGAGAGGAUGCCCUGAGCCCUUUGCUCAACAAACAGCUCUCUCCUGCAAGGAGGAGAGAGGCCAUCUGUCUGUCUGCUUUGACACUUUUACCCAGUGACCUUCAGGGCUUCAGACACUUCCCGGAGCAGCAUGUGGAUGGAAGAUGCCAGAUGAACAAAUCAUGGCUUUGGCCUCCAAGCUGCUUGCAUGCAACAUCAUGAAGGAACGAUGGACCUGGUCAGCCUUGAGCCUGGAGAGGAGCAGCCCCCUAUGAAGGCCAAGGGCAGCUCCCAAGCACUGGAAUUCUGUACUUCAACUGCAAAGGAAGUUAGUUUUCUGCUCGAGUGAGAUGAAACCAGUGGCGAUCUGAGCAAUCAAAGGCCAUCUAGUCCAAAGUUUCAAACGAUGAAAGACAGUGAGCAAAAACAGAGAUGCUUUCCUGAGUUGGAGGACAGGUCAUUUCUGAGACCAGUUCCACAAGGGGCACCAUUCUGGAGUGGUGGGCAGUCAUCAGCUCCAAAGAGCUCUGGUUUCCCCAGUAACCCAACCCCAACGAUACCGGAGAGGUCUGACGUCUGGUAGCAUGUCCUUCUGCUCCUACGGAAGAGAAGAUGGAGAGAGGUGGGUGAGGACCUCGAGGAGGAGACCUGAUCUGGAUGGCGACAGAGGGUGACAGAGAGGAGCAGAUGAGAUCAUGGACGGGAGAACUCUUUCUACCAAUAAAUUCCAAAACUCAAAUGAAGGAGGCGACCUGGCCAGCGGCAGUCCUGAGCAGGCUCUGAGCCCUAGGACAGGAGGGAAACGUCCAGCCCACGGGCCGUAUAAAGCCCAUAAAAUCAUUUGGUCUGGCCUUGCCAAGGCAUUAGGGAAGCGAUAUUUCUGCGAGUCCAGUUCCUCAACUUCAAAAUUCGAGGAAUUUGCAAACAGUCAUGUCAUGUGGCCCUGCCUCAACGUUUCCCAGCGAACUCUUCCAUCCCACACUGCAGAUAUGCCAGGAAUGGCAUGUGGAUGGCGGUUUGGCGGUUGUGAAACGGCCCUGAAACAUCAGUGAGGAAAGUGUUCCUCCUGCAUUUGUGGCCCAACUCCCUGCAGGAACUGCAGGUUUCUGUCUCCUGGAGCAGGAGGAAGCACCAACUAGGGGCGGCCCUGGGCCAGGGAAGCAAAGAAGCUGGCGGGACAGAGCUGCCUGUAUUCAGUGGACAUGUGCUCCUAACCUUUCUCAGUGCCCUUUGCAAACGUUAUUUGAUGCUAUUGGGAAAUCACAGGUGUCCUGGAAUUGGUGGCACACCUGAGCGUCCACUGGGAAGACGGCCCCUCCACCCCAACCCUCUAUGUGCUGGACAUUUUUGCACUGACAUUUGAAUAAAGAGGUGGUGG